Molecule: transfer RNA, 88 nt
Filed under: Phakopsora pachyrhizi
Lineage: Eukaryota; Fungi; Basidiomycota; Pucciniomycetes; Pucciniales; Phakopsoraceae
Description: tRNA-Asn
Rfam family: tRNA
About the family: Transfer RNA (tRNA) molecules are approximately 80 nucleotides in length.
Source: RNAcentral
GUCUCCGUGGCGCAAUUGGUUAGCGCGUUCGACUGUUAGCUGACAGAUUGUGAUCGAGAGGUUGACAGUUCAAUCCUGUCCGGGGACG